CUGAAAUACAAAAUCAGCAGCAUGGAGAAAAGCUUUCGCUUAAUGGAGGAAAAACUUUACAAAGUGGAGAACGAGUUGAACAAAGACCCAAAGCCCACAGCAAAGAGAACUUCCUGUUUUGAGAGAUGAAGAG
Long non-coding RNA from Silurus meridionalis, 133 nucleotides. RefSeq lists it as uncharacterized. The transcript is spliced from 3 exons. The record is from RefSeq and is a predicted model, not a curated record. Lineage: Eukaryota; Metazoa; Chordata; Actinopteri; Siluriformes; Siluridae.